Molecule: ribosomal RNA, 497 nt
Filed under: uncultured bacterium
Lineage: Bacteria
Description: partial 16S ribosomal RNA
Rfam family: Bacterial small subunit ribosomal RNA
Source: RNAcentral
GAUGAACGCUGGCGGCGUGCCUAAUACAUGCAAGUCGAGCGAACAGACGAGGAGCUUGCUCCUCUGACGUUAGCGGCGGACGGGUGAGUAACACGUGGAUAACCUACCUAUAAGACUGGGAUAACUUCGGGAAACCGGAGCUAAUACCGGAUAAUAUAUUGAACCGCAUGGUUCAAUAGUGAAAGACGGUUUUGCUGUCACCUAUAGAUGGAUCCGCGCCGCAUUAGCUAGUUGGUAAGGUAACGGCUUACCAAGGCAACGAUGCGUAGCUGACCUGAGAGGGUGAUCGGCCACACUGGAACUGAGACACGGUCCAGACUCCUACGGGAGGCAGCAGUAGGGAAUCUUCCGCAAUGGGCGAAAGCCUGACGGAGCAACGCCGCGUGAGUGAUGAAGGUCUUCGGAUCGUAAAACUCUGUUAUUAGGGAAGAACAAAUGUGUAAGUAACUAUGCACGUCUUGACGGUACCUAAUCAGAAAGCCACGGCUAACUACGUG